RNAcentral lists this ribosomal RNA (253 nucleotides) under uncultured bacterium. Its description in RNAcentral is "partial 16S ribosomal RNA". It matches the Rfam family "Bacterial small subunit ribosomal RNA", at positions 524 to 776 of the family's 1533-position model. The record is from RNAcentral.
UACGUAGGGGGCAAGCGUUAUCCGGAUUUACUGGGUGUAAAGGGAGCGUAGACGGCAGUGCAAGUCCGGAGUGAAAGCCCGGGGCUCAACCCUGGGACUGCUCUGGAAACUGUAAAGCUGGAGUGCGGGAGGGGCAGGCGGAAUUCCUGGUGUAGCGGUGAAAUGCGUAGAUAUCAGGAGGAACACCGGCGGCGAAGGCGGCCUGCUGGACCGUAACUGACGUUGAGGCUCGAAAGCGUGGGGAGCAAACAGG